This is a non-coding RNA of Anopheles minimus, 103 nucleotides long. NCBI's taxonomy places the organism in Eukaryota, Metazoa, Arthropoda, Insecta, Diptera, Culicidae. The record is from Rfam.
CCUUCGAUAGCUCAGUUGGUAGAGCGGUGGACUGUAGCGGAGCGCGCGUUUCACAACGCCCAUAGUUAUCCAUAGGUCACUGGUUCAAAUCCGGUUCGAAGGA